CUCCCCUUUCCACCUUAGGAUUCAAGGCCCACCAUCCCAGCCGGCCUCCACCAUUGCUCACUGCUUCAUCGUUAGAUGACGGAUCUGACAGGGUCCGAGUGAGAUGCAAUAAAUGGCUACAGUCUGGGUUGUGGUGGGCCAGUGACCUUUGCAAAAUCUGGAUACCACCUGGCAGUGCUGCUGUAGACGGGCUUCCUGCAUUAAGAAGAGGCUACAGCAGACCACUCCUGAAAUCUCCGGAUUCCAGAAUUCCGAGUCUCAGGUUCUGCGCCUCAUAGAAGAGACAGAAGCAAAGACCCAUGGGCCAUGUCCUGUGACUGCACUGUUUCAUUGCAUCCUUGCAUCACAACAUCCUAGCAAGCACUGUGCGCAGCACCGGGGCAUGCCUUAGGUGCUGAGCAAUCAUGUGCUCAUAUGAAGAGGACCUGCUUGCAGCACUAAUGUCUUCAGGUGCUGAGAGACGGAGCGGGCCUGCGCUAUGGAAAUGUGACCCUGAGCCACCUCAGACCUGAUGGUAGGUGGUUCCCUGACCUGCAGAAAAUGGCUUCAGACUCACUUCCACCCUUGAACUCACGCUCCUCCUGCCUUCAGUCUGCCUCUCUCUCCCUGCUAAGUCUAGUCCCAGCGUAUGCAGUUGGGGUGAUGGAGGCUCCCCUGAAGAGUGCACAGCCCUGCUCAUCCUUUUGCCUCAGAAACUAGAGCAUGGGAGUUUAGGUCAUAAGGGUAAGCCCAGACUGAAGCCCGAGAGGCCCCGGGAUCUGAUAGGGGAGUUCAAUUUUCAUGGCUUGGUGUCCGAUUGGUCUGAUGGAGGCCCUGGGCCCCUGGUGGUGCUUCUGGCUCGUGGUGGUAAUAGAGCCAGAGAUCAGAGUGGAGAGCAAGGAGAUCAGGUUCUUGGGCAAAGACCAGAUUGGUCUGUGUCAAUGGGCCUGCACUCUGGGGAGAAG
This 944-nucleotide long non-coding RNA is filed under the name Equus caballus (horse). RNAcentral describes it as "lncRNA (ENSECAG00000049821.1)". Lineage: Eukaryota; Metazoa; Chordata; Mammalia; Perissodactyla; Equidae. The record is from RNAcentral.